CAGCAAGAAAUGAAAGCCGUGAAUUCUACAGGUAUCUCAGAGUCUGGAAUUCUUUAGAAGGGGUUCACAUGAGACACCGAGGGACUGGUGGCUGCGAUCCUCAACGGUGUCAUUUUUAUACAGGGUUGGUGGUAAUAAUUUUUUUUCCUGGUGCUGAAGAUCAAACCUCCUAGAGCCAAAGAAAAACCUCGAGUGGAGACGAUGAGGUGGACAGGCACCAAGAUCACUGUGCAUGUGACUUUGCUGCACCGUCAGCGGACAAGAUCCAGUAUCUGAGCAGGGAGAGGAUGCGGACUCACUGCAGUUCCUCGGAAAACCCUCUCCUGUGCACAGUCUAAUGAGGCUAGCUCCGAAGCGACAUUUGAGAGGACAGUGAGCAGAGAAGGGUCAUGACCCCAGAUGGCCUCACGGCAGCCCCGACCAGAAACCUGAGGUGACUCCAGGCCACCAUGUUCCACGUUACUCGACACACACCUCCAACUCCUGCGUACCCCCAUCCAUGGCAGAGGGGCUGAAAGACUGAUAGCCUAUAUUAUUUACCAGAUUAUAAGAAACCACAGCUUCAAUUUAUUGUGUAUGAUCUGUAAUGCCAAAAACUGUUGUUUAUCCAGUAUAUCUGAUACAAAAUUUAAAUUGUUUUUUUGUUUGUUUGUUUGUUUGUUUUGGUACCGG
This 672-nucleotide long non-coding RNA is filed under the name Heterocephalus glaber (naked mole-rat). RNAcentral describes it as "lncRNA (ENSHGLG00100046181.1)". The record is from RNAcentral. Lineage: Eukaryota; Metazoa; Chordata; Mammalia; Rodentia; Bathyergidae.